UAUACCUCUGGUGAGUUCGGUGUAGUCGCGUUGAUAUGAUCCUGUAAACAAAUUCGGAGAUCCCGCUCGUCCAGUUCGCUCUCAGUGUCAACACUGAAGCUUCUCACAUUUUGACUACCAUGACCUGUCCAACGUUGCUUCCAGCUUUCUAGCCUCAUGACCUGUGACACACAUACGAGAUGGGUAAAGACUUACUCGAGCCAGCGCCAAGGCUCAGUCUCCGGGCUGGUGAUUGGCGUAGGGAACUAAGGAGACAGAGAUAACACAGCAAUAGAGGGCUGUAAAACAACUGUAUACAUAUCCUGUGAACAAAUGUACGUGAGUCAUAUGAAUAUGGUGGAAUGGAAAUAGAAAAUCAAGAUCCUAUAUCGAGCCAUCAAUCAGAUUUACUGCUAAUUCCAAGUGUACAAAGUCUUCGUAAUUACGUUAAUCUACAAGCCUCGAAAUGUACUAACUUGCAGCCAAAGAGCAAAUUCAAUAAUACUUAGAUUUUAAGCUAUUGUGAUAUAAUCAUAAAUCUACGUUUUCAUGAUCUACCGCAAUUACUUCUAGCGUCAAUACUGAUAACGUAAUACUUUAAUCAGGUUAUCCUGUAAAUAAUGUGAAUUUUCCUUAUCGCUAUCUCAUGGUAAAUUCGCAUUACUUACGGAGCGAUUAAUCAUCAUUAACUCGAUGAGUAUCACCAACCAUUAAAAACACCUGAGAAAAUAAUGAUACUUGUGCAUAAUUGAAAGCAUUCUUUGCAUCGAAUAAAUAUCUCUUAUUCCAUAAAUUUGUUCAACUUCGAAUCAUGUGACUGAGAAAGUUGUAGAAGUAUAAAGUACCUGCACGAAUGUAAGAGAAAAGAAACUUUCUUAUAAAUAAGAGUUCGUUUACUUUUCAGUAUAA
Molecule: long non-coding RNA, 888 nt
Organism: Nomia melanderi (Alkali bee)
Lineage: Eukaryota; Metazoa; Arthropoda; Insecta; Hymenoptera; Halictidae
Source: RefSeq, a predicted model, not a curated record